GGGCGCAUGGUUUAGUGGUAUAAUUCCUCUUUAGCAUCUUAAGGUCCCCAAGACCUGAGAAUAGAUAGCGAUAUCUAAAGUUAGAGGCGGUCCCUGGUUCGAUUCCUGGUGUGUCCA
Molecule: non-coding RNA, 117 nt
Organism: Cephalotrichum gorgonifer
Lineage: Eukaryota; Fungi; Ascomycota; Sordariomycetes; Microascales; Microascaceae
Source: the annotation of a GenBank genome assembly